Triticum dicoccoides is the source of this 861-nucleotide long non-coding RNA. RefSeq lists it as uncharacterized. The record is from RefSeq and is a predicted model, not a curated record. Lineage: Eukaryota; Viridiplantae; Streptophyta; Magnoliopsida; Poales; Poaceae. The transcript has 5 exons.
GCUGGAUCCUGAUUUGGGCGGGAUUUUUUUCCCAGGCAUUGAGCGCGCGCUGGACGGCGGGAACUGUCGCGUCAAGGAGGUCGCUAUGGACGGUGGAUCCAGGGCGCUGCACGUCGCUGUCGGCCACGGGAGGAUGCCAUACCCUUUGGGCGCAACAAACUCUUGGCCAUAUCCUCUUCCGUUUUCACAACAAGAAAGAGAUGCAUAUGAGAGGAAGAGAGCCUCCCCCAAGCUCUGUCUAGGCGAUGCACGAGAAAUUUGGAAACUAUCAAGGAGAUGUCCAAUGAUGAAUAUACUCAGACACUGAGAUACAUUCUAAAACGUGUUUACGCAGGUGAUGGGGCUGCCGCCAACUUGGGCCUGCUCAAGAACAGCGACUCUACAGGAGGGGGAUGGAGUCACGGAAGCUCAUGUGCUAUUGGGAGCGACGGUUCCACAAUGAGCCGGUCUUUUGUCACAUCUGAGUUGGAGGAUGUCCAAGGCCGGAAGUGUUCGUCACCACUAAGCCGCGAUUUGGAUGUCUCAUCUCUGAACAGUUGAAACGCCGAGUACUCCAUGAAAGCUUGCCUAGCGGCUUUUGCGCAAUAUUAUAUCUUUGGACGUUUGCACUUCCGCGGCUCUAGACAUGAGCUUCCUUAUAUGAGUGCUAGCGCGCUACAUUGCAGAGAAAGCUUUGAGAAAAUGCUUUGUUGGGAUGAUAGACAAGAAUAAUCAAUCCUCAUUCCAAGGUUAGAUUUGUACUUCCUUCCCAGUUCUUCUUUACAAAGGACCAAUCCUCUUACUUUAUCCAUUCAUGUUGUCUUAAUUUUGUUCCUUCAUGGAAAAACAUUUUCUCAUUUCAAUCUUUCUCCAUUUGGUAUG